RNAcentral lists this transfer RNA (83 nucleotides) under Patescibacteria group bacterium. RNAcentral describes it as "tRNA-Leu". It matches the Rfam family "tRNA". Rfam says of the family: Transfer RNA (tRNA) molecules are approximately 80 nucleotides in length. Their secondary structure includes four short double-helical elements and three loops (D, anti-codon, and T loops). Further hydrogen bonds mediate the characteristic L-shaped molecular structure. tRNAs have two regions of fundamental functional importance: the anti-codon, which is responsible for specific mRNA codon recognition, and the 3' end, to which the tRNAs corresponding amino acid is attached (by aminoacyl-tRNA synthetases). tRNAs cope with the degeneracy of the genetic code in two manners: having more than one tRNA (with a specific anti-codon) for a particular amino acid; and 'wobble' base-pairing, i.e. permitting non-standard base-pairing at the 3rd anti-codon position. The record is from RNAcentral.
GCCGGGGUGGUGAAAUGGUAGACACGCCAGCCUUAGGAGCUGGUGGGAGCAAUCCCGUGGAGGUUCAAAUCCUCUCCCCGGCA